RNAcentral lists this unclassified non-coding RNA (227 nucleotides) under rhizosphere metagenome. RNAcentral's name for it is "partial ribosomal RNA internal transcribed spacer region". The record is from RNAcentral.
GAGUUAGGGUCUUUUAGGCCCGACCUCCAACCCUUUGUCUAUUAUACCUCUUGUUGCUUCGGUGGGCCCGUCCCCUCUAGAGAUAGAGGACGACCGCCGGAGGGUGUAACGCCCUCUGGCCCGCGCCCACCGAUGGCCCCAACUCAAAAACUCUUGUUUAACCAUGAAUUGUCUGACUAUGAAAAAAAUAAUAACAAAAAACUUUCAACAACGGAUCUCUUGGUUCU